AGGAUAAACGCUGGCGGCGUGCAUGAGACAUGCAAGUCGAACGGACGAUCAAGGCUUGCUUUGAUCGUUAGUGGCGGACGGCUGAGUAACGCGUAGGUGACCUGCCCCGAAGUGGGGAAUAACUGCCCGAAAGGGUGACUAAUACCGCAUGUGGUGGUGUGUUCAUUCACACCAGUAAAGCCGCAAGGCGCUUCGGGAGGGGCCUGCGUCCGAUUAGCUCGUUGGUGGGGUAACGGCUCACCAAGGCGACGAUCGGUAGGUGGUCUGAGAGGACGAUCACCCAGACUGGGACUGAGACACGGCCCAGACUCCUACGGGAGGCAGCAGUCGGGAAUUUUGCGCAAUGGACGAAAGUCUGACGCAGCAACGCCGCGUGAGGGAUGAAGGCCUUCGGUUGUAACUCUUUUAUCAGGGAAGAUAAUGACGGUACCUGAUGAAUAAGUCACGGCUAACUACGUGCCAGCAGCCGC
This 470-nucleotide ribosomal RNA is filed under the name uncultured bacterium. RNAcentral's name for it is "SSU rRNA". It matches the Rfam family "Bacterial small subunit ribosomal RNA", at positions 26 to 518 of the family's 1533-position model. The record is from RNAcentral.